AUGGUGUCAAUCGAGCCACAAAGGGGAAGUGAGUUGGAGAUGAGAUGGGGACAGAAGGUCCUGCUCGGCUGGUUCCAAGACCGUGAGGGAAAGGACUUCCUGUUGUCCGCCGGAGGGGAAAGAGCAGAGAUCCGAGAGACGAAGCAACCAGAGGAGACGGAAAACACGACCCCUGUCCUAUGUACCGGCCACAUCCCCCACAGCUUCUGCGAGGACCAGAUGCAAGUUUCUUUUAGCAGCUUGGGGUUAUUAAGAAGAGGGUCAGUAUUGCCCAGAACCGCAAGGUACUCUAUACUGUGUUACAAGAUAUCUGGUGAUUUGUGUGUGUUUUCUGCAAGCAUCUAA
RNAcentral lists this ribosomal RNA (345 nucleotides) under Triticum aestivum (bread wheat). RNAcentral's name for it is "partial small subunit ribosomal RNA". Lineage: Eukaryota; Viridiplantae; Streptophyta; Magnoliopsida; Poales; Poaceae. The record is from RNAcentral.